Molecule: ribosomal RNA, 99 nt
Filed under: Carnobacterium maltaromaticum
Lineage: Bacteria; Bacillati; Bacillota; Bacilli; Lactobacillales; Carnobacteriaceae
Source: RNAcentral
AUAUGAUACACCUGUUCCCAUGCCGAACACAGCAGUUAAGCUUUUCAGCGCCGAGAGUAGUUGGGGGUUUCCCCCUGUGAGGGUAGGACGUUGCCACGC